UUCCUCAAGACCUAUUUGAGGUACAGCCUGCCCAAUGUUUCAAUCAAUGGCCGCGGUAUUCUGACCGUGCGAAGGUAGCAUAAUCAUUAGUCUCUUAAUUAGAGGCUGGUAUGAACGGCUAAACGAGAAAAGAACUGUCUCUAGUAGAAAAAUUGAAAUUCAUUUUUAAGUGAAAAAGCUUAAAUAUUUCUGAAGGACGAUAAGACCCUAUAGAGCUUUUUUGUUGGGGCGACAGAAAGAUAACAUUCAACUCUUCAUUAAUCAAACAGCUAUCGCUGAAAUCUAGAUCCUUAUUGAAAGAUCAAAAGAACAAGUUACCUUAGGGAUACCAGCGUAAUCCUUUCCAAGAGUUCACAUCGACGAAAGGGUUUGCGACCUCGAUGUUGGAUUAAGAAAUUGCUUAGGUGUAGCCGCUUAAGUAAAAGGUCUGUUCGACCUUUUAAUUCUUACA
This 451-nucleotide ribosomal RNA is filed under the name Ozestheria lutraria. RNAcentral describes it as "partial 16S ribosomal RNA". It matches the Rfam family "Bacterial large subunit ribosomal RNA", at positions 1830 to 2600 of the family's 2925-position model. Lineage: Eukaryota; Metazoa; Arthropoda; Branchiopoda; Diplostraca; Cyzicidae. The record is from RNAcentral.